AUUUGUCCACAAUCUGAGGCCUUGCUCGGCUCUCUCUAUCCCCAAGCCCUAACUGGCCAUGAUGAUUAUUUCCCCAAGAAUAUAAACACAGAAUCAUCAUAAAUGUUGUCUUUGUGGAUCCCUUCCGGACCAACGAGAGCAACAACGUGUUCAUCCCCACAUGCUUACCUUCAAAACAGUCAGGCCAUGGAACUCGGGUAUAAGAAACCGAACCGGGAUGCUUCUAAAAGUAAUACGAGGCUCAAGCCCACUGUCUUGUGGAGGAACAUUCCCCCACAUCCAAAGACCUCCAACAUUAUCAAUGGCAAACGACAUCAUGGAUCCGGCCUUGACAGAAC
RNAcentral lists this long non-coding RNA (338 nucleotides) under Capsella rubella. Its description in RNAcentral is "long non-coding RNA (CRUB_LNC004191)". The record is from RNAcentral. Lineage: Eukaryota; Viridiplantae; Streptophyta; Magnoliopsida; Brassicales; Brassicaceae.